GAUAGAGGCGAUGGGGAGAGUUUGAUGACAAGGAUGUGGACUUUGUGAGGAAGAUAUCCAAUUUUCUGAUGAUGAGUUUAGUGAAGAUGUCCACGCAAAGGGCAAAAAGAGGAAGGCAGCUUUGAAAGUUUUGCCCCAAAAGCUGAACAAGUCCAAGAAGGCAAAGACUGGUGCCAGUGCUGAUAUAUAUACAGCUGCAGAGCAGUUUGGGGACAUGUUGGAUGAGACAGGAGGUUUCCAAGAUCAACAUGUCUGGAUCACAUGCAUUUGCUAAUACGGACAAGGCCCAUGCAAAGCAGCUCAAGUGGGAGGCAGACAGGGACAGAUGGCUGCGAGGGCCGACCCGAAAGCAGCCAUUCAACAAGCAGAGGGGUGGGAAAAAAUUCUCCAAAGGAAAACAAGGUGGAAAGCGUGGACAAUUUCAAGGAAAGCCUGGAAGAAGGAAAUAGACUGUUAAAAAACUUUUGUAGCUUGUUCUUAUAUGUCUGGAAAGCAGAUGCAAUGUUCUAUACGGUUUUAAAUAAAACCAGAUGUAAUUAUGAUAUGUGUUCAGUUUCUCUUUGAAUUGUUUGGCUUUUAAUAUUAUUAGAAUUAUAUGACGCUUUUGAUUGAACUGAACAUAUUGAUCAGUAUACUGUGAUGAUUUUAAUCAGUAUACUCUAGCCUUUAAACAUGUAAUACUGCAUAUGAAGAGUGUUAUUAGAAGAGUUGGCUUUAUGAGCAUGCUCUUUCUGCGCAUGGAUGUUUCAAGGAAGUCUCUUCUGAUGGUAAAUCCACUGUUAGUUGAAAGGAACAGCCUGAUCUAGGACGCCACUACUUGAUCUAGAAGGCAACUUUGAUUGUGGAUUAAAAAAAGUUUUUCCUGAUUAUACACACAUUGUAUAAACCAUGUGUGCACUAUGCAAUUUUUUGUUGAUUGGUUCAUUUCACAAGAUAGUGCAAAAAUCUGUUAAUAAAUGUUUGCAUUAUUUAACAAGUAGGCGGAAUAACUGUUUCAAAAGAACAUAAACUUUCAUUUUGGCUAAUGUAAUAACCGACACACAUUGAGUCUUGCGAUGUUUGAAAGCCAUAAUUAUUACUUGCAUUUGUUUUAUAAAGAAUAACACUGUGUGUUAAAGGGACCUGUUCACAGAUUUUGGCGUGUUUUGAAGUUUGUCAUUAAAUGAUUACCGGUAUUUGUAAACAUCAGAACUAAAGAGCUCCGGUAAAUAACAAAAAUAUAUUUUUUAAAGAAAAAAGUAAUCCACGGCUGGGCUCGAACCACUGAUCCUUGAAGUAAAAGUCUAGUAAUUGUACCACUCGACUAUCAGUGCUGGUAAGCCAGAUGAUGUAUUUUAUACGAUAUAUAAGCAAUCCUUUUAAUGUCACACAAUGUAAUGAUUUCAACAGAACUUUCCAAAUUAUUCAUUCAAUCCCUUCACGUUUGUAUUGCAGCAUUAUUUUCAGGUUUUUAAAUAGGCAAAUAAUGCAUAUAAUGAAUAUUUUAGAGCAUGGUUAAUGAUAAGUUUCCUUGUAAUAAAAACAUACGUACAAUUAAAGUUUGCAAAUCUGAAUUAAAUUUGUUUUUUAAUUUAUGUUAAUUUAUCAAAACAUGAACAGGUUCCUUUAAUAUGAUGAACAGAAUUUUAAAUGUGAGCAACUAACAACACAUUUAAAUUAAGCACAUUUAACUGUUUUUGAAAAAUGUGCAUGCCAUAAUAGGGGAGAUAAUUUCAAGGUUGAAUGUUUUUAGAUAUUAAAAUUCCAUCAUCUACAGUUACAAUAAUUUCACAUGAGAAAGUCCAAAUAUGAAGGAUUUUGUUUAGUGUAACUUAUCAGGCUUUCUAUAUUUGUGCCCAAAAUAUCUUCAAUAAUACUUGACUUAUCUGUAUGUAAUACAAGUAACAGUUAAUAACAAUUCGGUUUCUGUAUGUGUGCAUACAAAUCUAAACACUUGAAUGGUCACAAAGGGUAGUAAUUACUCCACAAAAUGCUGUGGAUAUAUAUGGUGUCUGUGCUGGAGGUCAGGGGUUUUAUCUGAUCUCAGAGCAUUGUCAGAAUCGCCUCAAAAACACCAUGAAAGUACUGUCUUAAUAAAAAUGUUGCUGUCGAUGCAAUUGUUAAUUAGUCAAUAUAUUUAAACUGAUGAAUAAAUAAAGGAACCUUU
Molecule: long non-coding RNA, 2146 nt
Organism: Dreissena polymorpha
Lineage: Eukaryota; Metazoa; Mollusca; Bivalvia; Myida; Dreissenidae
Exons: 5
Source: RefSeq, a predicted model, not a curated record